Molecule: ribosomal RNA, 494 nt
Filed under: uncultured bacterium
Lineage: Bacteria
Description: bacterial SSU rRNA
Rfam family: Bacterial small subunit ribosomal RNA
Source: RNAcentral
GACGAACGCUGGCGGCGUGCCUGACACAUGCAAGUCGGACGGUUCUUGUACCUUCAAGCUUGCUUGUUGGUGCAAGGAUAGUGGCGGACGGGUGAGUAACGCGUGAACAUCUACCCAUUGGAGGGGGACAACCCGUCGAAAGGCGGGCUAAUACCGCGUAAGCCGCGAGGUGAGAGGCUGCCUAUUGGUGGCCGCCGAUGGAUGGGUUCGCGUCCUAUCAGCUGGUUGGUGGGGUAACGGCCUACCAAGGCGAAGACGGGUAGCCGGUCUGAGAGGAUGAUCAGCCACACUGGAACUGAGACACGGUCCAGACUCCUACGGGAGGCAGCAGUGAGGAAUAUUGCGCAAUGGGGGCAACCCUGACGCAGCAACGCCGCGUGAGUGAGGAAGGUUUUCGGACUGUAAAGCUCUGUCGAGCGGGAAGAAAUGUACCAUGGCUAAUAUCCAUGAUAUUUGACGGUACCGCUAGAGGAAGCACCGGCUAACUCCGUGCC